AGUGAACGCUGGCGGUAGGCCUAACACAUGCAAGUCGAACGGCAGCACAGUAAGAGCUUGCUCUUACGGGUGGCGAGUGGCGGACGGGUGAGGAAUACACCGGAAUCUACUUUUUCGUGGGGGAUAACGUAGGGAAACUUACGCUAAUACCGCAUACGACCUACGGGUGAAAGCAGGGGAUCUUCGGACCUUGCGCGAUUGAAUGAGCCGAUGUCGGAUUAGCUAGUUGGCGGGGUAAAGGCCCACCAAGGCGACGAUCCGUAGCUGGUCUGAGAGGAUGAUCAGCCACACUGGAACUGAGACACGGUCCAGACUCCUACGGGAGGCAGCAGUGGGGAAUAUUGGACAAUGGGCGCAAGCCUGAUCCAGCCAUACCGCGUGGGUGAAGAAGGCCCUCGGGUUGUAAAGCCCUUUUGUUGGGAAAGAAAAGCAGCAGGUUAAUACCCCGCUGUUCUGACGGUACCCAAAGAAUAAGCACCGGCUAACUUCGUG
Molecule: ribosomal RNA, 492 nt
Filed under: uncultured bacterium
Lineage: Bacteria
Description: partial 16S ribosomal RNA
Rfam family: Bacterial small subunit ribosomal RNA
Source: RNAcentral